Molecule: long non-coding RNA, 899 nt
Organism: Bombina bombina (fire-bellied toad)
Lineage: Eukaryota; Metazoa; Chordata; Amphibia; Anura; Bombinatoridae
Exons: 6
Source: RefSeq, a predicted model, not a curated record
UGUAUGUGCAGUUGUUUCUUAGGAUACAAACCUAACAUAAUCUCCUUUCUCUAAGCCACUUGGACAUCUGAACUAAGGAUUAAAACUCCUCUCUACUACUGCAGCAUUUAUUGCCCCUGCAGUUUCUGAAGCUACAUUGGACUGCAACAUAUUUCACAGCACACCUUCCUAUUACAAAAUCUUGCGCUCCCUUCUUGCCACAACUCCACUGGCACUUAGUGGUUGUUUCCUGAGUACAAGUCAACUAACCAGAAGAAAACCAAAGCAAAUACAAAGAGGAAAACAGGAUUGUAAAACCGGAAUUUAGCCACACCCCCUUUUGUGACAUCACUCUCUGUUCAUUCAGCUUCAGUACAGCCUACUCUGAUUCAGUGUGUCAGCAGCCUGUCAGCAAGUCUGAAAAGGAUUGUUUCCAUCUCUACAGCUAUCUGAUACAAGGUAAUUCAUACAUCAGAUGAUUCUGGUAUUGGCUCCUGUAAUGACUUCACCACCUGGUUUUAAAGACAACAUCAGCUGGGAGAUUACUUCAUCUAAUGACUGAAAGUGAAGAAUUCAAGACUGAAAGUGAAGAAUUCAACACUGAAAGUGAAGAGUUCAAGACUGAAAGUGAUGAAUCCCAGACUGAAAGUGAUGAAUCCGAGACUGAAAGUGAUGAAUACCAAUGUGAUCAUGUCUGGCAUUGUCUUUCAAAUGUGCUGACCUUGAAAACCAUACAAAGACACGUUCACGUGAUAUGGAUGUUGUUGCUGGAACCUCAAGCCCGUGUUCAUCACAGCAUGAUGUAGUUUAUGUGGCGAGCAUAGAGGAAUCCAGCAGCAAUGGUGAACAGCCUUUGCAGGCUUCUGAGAUUGAUGUAACAUGUGAGAUGGAGGAGGAAGUGGCUCCCUUGGAGUCUGAUG